RNAcentral lists this transfer RNA (71 nucleotides) under Stereum hirsutum FP-91666 SS1. Its description in RNAcentral is "tRNA-Leu (AAG) (tRNA-Leu-AAG-7-1)". It matches the Rfam family "tRNA". Rfam says of the family: Transfer RNA (tRNA) molecules are approximately 80 nucleotides in length. Their secondary structure includes four short double-helical elements and three loops (D, anti-codon, and T loops). Further hydrogen bonds mediate the characteristic L-shaped molecular structure. tRNAs have two regions of fundamental functional importance: the anti-codon, which is responsible for specific mRNA codon recognition, and the 3' end, to which the tRNAs corresponding amino acid is attached (by aminoacyl-tRNA synthetases). tRNAs cope with the degeneracy of the genetic code in two manners: having more than one tRNA (with a specific anti-codon) for a particular amino acid; and 'wobble' base-pairing, i.e. permitting non-standard base-pairing at the 3rd anti-codon position. Lineage: Eukaryota; Fungi; Basidiomycota; Agaricomycetes; Russulales; Stereaceae. The record is from RNAcentral.
CCUCCAGUAGCUCAGCGGUAGAGCAGGGAGGAAAGAUCUCCCUGUCGCUGGUUCGACUCCAGCCUGGAGGU